UAGGGAAUCUUCCACAAUGGACGCAAGUCUGAUGGAGCAACGCCGCGUGAGUGAAGAAGGUCUUCGGAUCGUAAAACUCUGUUGUUAGAGAAGAACACGAGUGAGAGUAACUGCUCAUUCGAUGACGGUAUCUAACCAGCAAGUCACGGCUAACUACGCGCCAG
This 164-nucleotide ribosomal RNA is filed under the name uncultured bacterium. Its description in RNAcentral is "partial 16S rRNA". It matches the Rfam family "Bacterial small subunit ribosomal RNA", at positions 355 to 511 of the family's 1533-position model. The record is from RNAcentral.